UCCCUGGUGACUCAGUUGGUAAAGAAUCUGUCUGCAAUACAGGAGACCCAGGUUCAAUCCCUGGCUGGGGAA
This 72-nucleotide transfer RNA is filed under the name Bos taurus (domestic cattle). It matches the Rfam family "tRNA". Rfam says of the family: Transfer RNA (tRNA) molecules are approximately 80 nucleotides in length. Their secondary structure includes four short double-helical elements and three loops (D, anti-codon, and T loops). Lineage: Eukaryota; Metazoa; Chordata; Mammalia; Artiodactyla; Bovidae. RNAcentral also lists the same sequence under 1 other name. The record is from Rfam by way of RNAcentral.